RNAcentral lists this transfer RNA (94 nucleotides) under Steroidobacter agaridevorans. Its description in RNAcentral is "tRNA-Sec". It matches the Rfam family "Selenocysteine transfer RNA". The record is from RNAcentral. Lineage: Bacteria; Pseudomonadati; Pseudomonadota; Gammaproteobacteria; Steroidobacterales; Steroidobacteraceae.
GGAAGAGAAACAUCCCCGGCGGGGUGCCCGGACUUCAAACCCGGAGGAAGGUGCCAUGCAUCUUCGGUAGGUUCGACUCCUGCCUCUUCCGCCA